This 107-nucleotide small nuclear RNA is filed under the name Mandrillus leucophaeus (drill). Lineage: Eukaryota; Metazoa; Chordata; Mammalia; Primates; Cercopithecidae. The record is from RNAcentral.
GUACUCUCUUUGGCAGCACGUAUACUGAAAUUGAAAUGACACAGAGGAGAUUAGCAUGGCCCCUGUGCAAGGAUGACAUGCAAAUUUGUGAGGCGUUCCAUAUAAUA